UGCAUCGGCCGGGAAUCGAACCCGGGGCGCCCGCAUGGCAGGCGAGCAUUCUACCACUGAACCACCGAAGG
RNAcentral lists this transfer RNA (71 nucleotides) under Cordylochernes scorpioides. RNAcentral's name for it is "tRNA-Gly". The record is from RNAcentral. Lineage: Eukaryota; Metazoa; Arthropoda; Arachnida; Pseudoscorpiones; Chernetidae.